UGCAGGUUCAGUUUGUAGGUGUUUGGAUUUGCAGCUGUGGACACAAGGCAAAUGAUUUUAUGGGCAUCUUUUCAAGACCACUUCCUGAGCAAUGUUUGAAGCAGGGGCUGGCCUGGUCACAAAUACUCCUGUAAACCAUCCAGAUCCCUCCCUGAAAAAAAAGCUUUGAGCUUCUGUUCCUCUGGGAACAGACUGGCAUUCUGCCUCCCAAUCUGCAGCUUUAAAUGCCUCUGGUCUGCCCUGAAAGUUUGCUCCAUAGCCAGUCUGACACCUCUGAUAUGACAGGACUCUGGGAAACUGAGCACCAUCAGUGACUGCCAGACAUUGCAGGGCAUCAUUUAAAAUGCAAUUAACAUUAACAUUAACAGGUUCUGCAGUUCUCCAUAGAGAGAGAGGAAAGGCUGCUGACCUGGUGCCUGAAGUUGUGAGUAGAGACUUAAAAGUUAAACAAGACAGACACAGUGUCUUCGUGAGCCUCGAGAGAAAAUAUGCAUCUGACAGCAAGAUGGGACCACAUUGAUACAGGAGAACAGAUAUAAGGUAGCAUUUUUCAGUGGCUCACAGCUACUUCAAACAUGAAGCGCUUUUCCUUGGUCCAACAAAAUUCACUUCCUUGAUGCCUGAAUAAUGUUAAAAGUGACAAGUAAGUAUCAAGGUCCUUUUGCAAAGCUGUCUGAGAUUUUCAAGAACAAUCAGAAAAAUGGACAAUAGAAAGAUCUGUGUCUUGAAUCCCUUCUGAUCUUUGAAGAGUUUUUUAUUUCUGCAGUUGAAAACAAGCAUUUAAAGUUGGCCUGUAGGAAAAGUCUGUGCUAACCCUGUAAAAAUUGUAUUACAUAUACCUCUUGUAUGUACUCAUGUGAGAAUACUGCAUUCCUAAUCGUGUUGUUCUUUGGCACAGUCCAAACAAACAUCAGCACAUUCUUAAUACAUUAUUUUCUGAGCUUGGCUAAAUAAGCAAAAGAUAAAUCUACUGGUAAUGCAAUUAAGUCAUAAUUAUACAGAAAUACAUAUGCAAUUACUUUCCCAUCCUCAUUAAAGUUGAAUGAAUGCUUAGGGGUUUAACUAUCUUUUAACUACAGAGCAAAAGAAAUUUAAU
Molecule: long non-coding RNA, 1096 nt
Filed under: Anser brachyrhynchus (Pink-footed goose)
Lineage: Eukaryota; Metazoa; Chordata; Aves; Anseriformes; Anatidae
Description: lncRNA (ENSABRG00000012566.1)
Source: RNAcentral